This 255-nucleotide ribosomal RNA is filed under the name uncultured bacterium. RNAcentral's name for it is "partial 16S ribosomal RNA". It matches the Rfam family "Bacterial small subunit ribosomal RNA", at positions 524 to 776 of the family's 1533-position model. The record is from RNAcentral.
UACGGGGGGAGCAAGCGUUGUUCGGAUUUACUGGGCGCAAAGGGCGCGUAGGCGGCCAGCACAAGUCAGUUGUGAAAUCUCCGAGCUUAACUCGGAAAGGUCAACUGAUACUGUGCGGCUAGAGUGCAGAAGGGGCAACUGGAAUUCUUGGUGUAGCGGUGAAAUGCGUAGAUAUCAAGAGGAACACCUGAGGCGAAGGCGGGUUGCUAGGCUGACACUGACGCUGAGUGCGCGAAAGCCAGGGGAGCAAACGGG